Molecule: ribosomal RNA, 467 nt
Filed under: uncultured bacterium
Lineage: Bacteria
Description: partial 16S ribosomal RNA
Rfam family: Bacterial small subunit ribosomal RNA
Source: RNAcentral
GACGAACGCUGACAGAAUGCUUAACACAUGCAAGUCAACCGGAAAGGGGGUUUUUAAGUGAGGUGUGGGUGUCGCACGGGGGAGUAACGCGUAAAGAUCAUGCGUCACAGCUAUGGACAACAUUUGAGGAAGCAUGCUAAUACCUAAGAUUAUGAUACUAGCUCAUCGGAUAGGGAUGAAAGGUAUAAGCGCUGUGAGAGAGCUUUGCGUCCCAUUAGCUGGUUGGAGAGGUAACGGCUCACCAAGGCGAUGAUGGGUAGCCGGCCUGAGAGGGUGAUCGGCAACAAGGGGACUGAGACACGGCCCUAACCCCUCCGGGAGGCAGAAGUGGGGAAUAUUGGACAAUGGACCGAGAGUCUGAUCCAGCAAUUCUGUGUGCACGAUGAAGUUUUUCGGAAUGUAAAGUGCUUUCAGUUGGGAAGAAACAAAUGACGGUACCAACAGAAGAAGUGCCGGCUAAAUACGUG